CAUCGAGGACUACAGUGGGAUCUGCAUUUUCCAAACCGAAUGGUUAAAACUCCAAGGAAUUAGUUGGAAUAGAGUUUUGCUUGUUGAGACAGAUUGACUUUUCGAGGUUGAUGUUGAGCUAUUGAGUGGAAAACUCGCAUAAUGCUUCCUAAGUCCUCGAGUGGGAGGUAAUACCCAAGUUAUGGGCUGUAAAAGGAUUGAUCCCACUACCAAUGAUAAAGGAAAUUUGAUGAAAAACGCUCAUUUGAUUAAAAUUCAUUCAAGUAUGAUGAUGGCUUCAUUCGUAUAUAUUACAGUAUUUUGACCAUAUCUCUGUAUACAAAACUCCAAAUGUAGUGAUUCUUGAACCACUAGACUUCUAAGAGGAAGGACUACAACUUUUAUAUUUACCACUUCACCCAGUUCAGACUAGAUCAUGGUCAAAAUA
Non-coding RNA from Theobroma cacao (cacao), 427 nucleotides. The record is from RefSeq and is a predicted model, not a curated record. Lineage: Eukaryota; Viridiplantae; Streptophyta; Magnoliopsida; Malvales; Malvaceae.